UACGUAGGGGGGCAAGCGUUGUCCGGAUUUAUUGGGCGUAAAGAGCUCGUAGGCGGUCUGUCACGUCGGCUGUGAAAUCCCCGAGGCUCAACCUCGGGUCUGCAGUCGAUACGGGCAAACUAGAGUAUUGCAGGGGAGACUGGAAUUCCUGGUGUAGCGGUGAAAUGCGCAGAUAUCAGGAGGAACACCGGUGGCGAAGGCGGGUCUCUGGGCAAUAACUGACGCUGAGGAGCGAAAGCGUGGGGAGCGAACAGG
This 255-nucleotide ribosomal RNA is filed under the name uncultured bacterium. RNAcentral describes it as "partial 16S ribosomal RNA". It matches the Rfam family "Bacterial small subunit ribosomal RNA", at positions 524 to 776 of the family's 1533-position model. The record is from RNAcentral.